AAAAAAAAGUUCAAAAAAUUUUAGAGUCUAGUAGAUUGCUCAUCCAAAAUUAUAUGCCAAAGUUGUAAAAGACAAUCACAGAAACUAGUAUAUUGAUGUAUGAUUCCUGUGUAUCAUAUAUCUGCAUGCUGCUGUUUUUGACUUCAAUUAACUGAUAUUUGAAUAUAGUUUGGCUCCUUUUCUGCUUGCUGCUUCUUGUAAGCAUGGUUUACCCAUGAAAAGAUUGCCAAAUAAGCAUCUUAAACAGUUUUAGGCCACAACAUGUGAUGGCCUCUUCAAUAGAUUGUUGUAUCAGCUGUUGUACAUCUUUAAUUUGAACUAACUGUUAUACAUCUUCAAUAGGUUGGCUUAUCAGCUGUUAUAUGUCUUUAGUGUGGAGUUUCUGUAAUAUACUUCUCACGCUUUUUCUAUUCAUUUUCUUUUCUUCCAUGUUUCAUUUAUUUUGAAGGGUAAUAUCUUUUUUUUUCCCCCUCCAGGUUGAAAA
This 484-nucleotide unclassified non-coding RNA is filed under the name Hevea brasiliensis (rubber tree). The record is from RNAcentral. Lineage: Eukaryota; Viridiplantae; Streptophyta; Magnoliopsida; Malpighiales; Euphorbiaceae.